CGCGGGGUGGAGGAGCGGUACCUCGAGAGGCUCAUAACCUCUAGACGCUGGUUCGAGUCCAGCCCCCGCAACAA
Molecule: transfer RNA, 74 nt
Filed under: Candidatus Kaiserbacteria bacterium
Lineage: Bacteria; Candidatus Kaiseribacteriota
Description: tRNA-Met
Rfam family: tRNA
About the family: Transfer RNA (tRNA) molecules are approximately 80 nucleotides in length. Their secondary structure includes four short double-helical elements and three loops (D, anti-codon, and T loops). Further hydrogen bonds mediate the characteristic L-shaped molecular structure. tRNAs have two regions of fundamental functional importance: the anti-codon, which is responsible for specific mRNA codon recognition, and the 3' end, to which the tRNAs corresponding amino acid is attached (by aminoacyl-tRNA synthetases). tRNAs cope with the degeneracy of the genetic code in two manners: having more than one tRNA (with a specific anti-codon) for a particular amino acid; and 'wobble' base-pairing, i.e. permitting non-standard base-pairing at the 3rd anti-codon position.
Source: RNAcentral